This is a long non-coding RNA of Zingiber officinale, 628 nucleotides long. RefSeq lists it as uncharacterized. Lineage: Eukaryota; Viridiplantae; Streptophyta; Magnoliopsida; Zingiberales; Zingiberaceae. The transcript is spliced from 2 exons. The record is from RefSeq and is a predicted model, not a curated record.
UAUUUAAGGAGAUUAAUUUCCUUCCCGAAACCUAAAACCUAAUCUCUCCUUUUCUCCUCACGCACGCGACGCCGUUUUCUUCCCUCGGGCGAAAUCGCAGCCAAGGCUAGGGUUUCCUCCUUACGACGUCGGCGAGGUGUUUUCCGGCCGAUCUCCACUCGUGGGUGACUAUUCCGGCAGGGAGAGCUCGGGAAAUACAAGGAAAAAAAGGUGGAAUCGAAGUUCCACCGAAACCCUAGAGCGCUUCUCUUCGGUUGUAAGUCCAAGAACCCGAUAUACAGAUAAGAGUAAGGGAAAAGCUAAAGUGUUAUAGAGGAAGGCGACAAGGAGACGUUGGUGGUGUGUGUGUGGUGGCGGAUAUGGAAGCUUGGGACCUUGCUAGAAGAGUUUAGAAAUCAUAUUUGCUGGUGUUUAUGUUUCUGUUAAAGUAGAAUUUAUUUUGCAUUGCUAAGGAUUGUUUUAGAUUGCUUCUUUUGAAUGUUAGAACAAUUAAUUGGAGUUUGCUGUAGAGAAGUUUCCUGGCAUUACUAGUUUCGUAAUCUUCCUGUCAGUUAGUUGGAUUAACUGUUAAAGCUGAGAACAUGUUCUUUUUCCUUAUUCUGGAUUAGUUUUCAAGUUUGAGUAGUGA